This 1539-nucleotide ribosomal RNA is filed under the name Triticum aestivum (bread wheat). RNAcentral's name for it is "partial small subunit ribosomal RNA". Lineage: Eukaryota; Viridiplantae; Streptophyta; Magnoliopsida; Poales; Poaceae. The record is from RNAcentral.
AUGGCCAUCACCAUCACCCACAACAACGGUGCCGCUGCACCCACCCAUGCCGCGAACGGAGCGGGCAACCAGGCCGGCCGCGACCACGUAGUCGUGUUCCCGUUCAUGGCGAAGGGCCACACCCUCCCACUGCUCCACUUCACCACGGCGCUCGCCGUGCACCAAAAGAACCUCCGCAUCACCAUGGUCGUCACGCCCGCCAACCUCGCCUUCGCCCGCAGCCGCCUCCCGGCGACGGUGCGCCUCGCGGUGCUCCCGUUCCCCUCGCUGCCGCCGCUGCCAUCCGGCAUCGAGUCCACGGACACCCUGCCCGGCCCGGACCUCUACCCGACGUUCCUGCGCGCCACGGCGCUCCUGCGGGCGCCAUUCGCGGAGUUCAUGGCGUCGCUCCCGGCCCCGCCGCUCGUGCUCGUCUCCGACUCCUUCCUCGGGUUCACGCACCGCGUCGCGGCCGACGCAGGCGUCCGCCGCAUCGUGUUCCAAGGCAUGUCCUGCUUCUCGAUGGCCACCUGCAGAUCGCUCAUCACGAGCCCGCCGCCGUCUGUCGCUGAGCACGGCGCAAGCUUCCACGUCUCCCAUAUGCCGGAACACGUGAGGAUCACGGCAGCUGAUGUCCCGGACACGAUCACCAAGCUCCGCGACGCCGAGGACCCAGUGACUCGGUUCCUUAUCGAUGACAUCGGCGAGUCCGACGCGCGCAGCUGGGGCGUCCUGGUCAACAGCUUCGCCAUGCUGGAAGAGGACUACGUAUCGGCCUUCAUGUCGUUCUACCAGCCGGGCGCGCGCGCCUGGCUGGUGGGCCCUCUGUUUCUCGCCGCCGGCGACGUGCCGGAGCGCGAGGAGGAGCAGGACCCGGAGGGGUGCCUCGCCUGGCUCGACGAGAUGGCGGAGCGGUCGGAGUCGGUGGUCUACGUGUCGUUCGGCACGCAGGCCCAUGUCUCCGACGAGCAGCUCGACGAGCUGGCGCUCGGGCUGGUGCAGUCCGGCCACCCAUUCCUCUGGGCCGUCCGGUCCGGCACGUGGUCGCCGCCGGUGGACGUGGGGCCGCACGGAAGGAUCGUCCGCGGGUGGAUCCCACAGAGGAGCGUGCUAGCUCACCCCGCGGUGGGAGGGUUCGUGAGCCACUGCGGGUGGAACUCGGUGAUGGAGAGCCUGGCAGCGGGGAAGCCCGUCCUGGCGUGGCCACAGAUGGCGGAGCAGCACCUGAACGCGCACCACGUCACGCACAUCAUCGGCGCCGGGGUAAGGAUAAUGGCCGCCGGGGGCGCGGGGGCCGUGGUGGGUAGGGCGGAGGUGGAGCACAAGAUCAGGAGGCUGAUGGACGCCGGCGACUCGGACGGGCAGAAAAUGCGAGCGAAGGCGGUCUGGGCUCAGAAGGCGGCGAAGUCAGCGGUGAGCGACGGUGGCACCUCACCUGUCGCCUUGCUGAAGCUGGUGGAAGAGCUGCAGGGGAGCUACUGUGACGUCAUCGCGGCGGACGAUGAUCAAAUCAAUCGGCCGCGACGGACGAUACGGACGCCCAUGAUUUGUGAAAAAUAA